CAGAGGGGGGGCUGAGAGCUGGACCUAUGAGAAGUACUGGACCUAUGUCCAAACUAGCAUUGUAGUGUUUAACCCACCUCGUUGACACUGCUCUGUGAUGGCAAGUCCAUGGCCUUCCUCAGCUUUUUUAUGGUCCUUGGCGUUUUAGAGGGUGUAUCCAGCUUUUAUCUGACGAGCUCAAACUGGCACCCUUUUGACAGGUCAGUGUCUCUUUUCUUUUCCAGUCCUUGAAUAUUGCCAUGUCAUGAUUUAAUCUUGCAAUUAAGUUGCAGCAUUUCCGACAGACUCGAAAUGAACGAAGAGCUGAGUUUAACAGAACUAAUCCUAACUUUGACAGUUGGCUGCAAAUAUUUUUUCUUUCGCUGUACUGUCAAAUAUUAGUUUAGAUGCACUAAUUUUACCGUGGAUGCGCAGAUUUACGUCACAUAUUCUGCAAAAGUCUAUCACAGCCAUCUUUGUUUUCGCCGCAUACCUGUGUUUACAGGGGAAGUUCGAGGCGGCUGAGCCAGUGCAUAACAUAUGUCAUAACCAAACGUUAUGUGAUUGGCUUACGGGUACACCAAUGAUUUUAAACUUCAGACAAACUCUACAUAUUGGAUGGCUUGAGAUUCCAUUGACGUUUCCUCACCUCUGUUUUCUAAUCGUUUGUUUUCUACUCUUUUCCUCCCCAACUUCUAAACAAAUGUAUGUUCAGACUGCAUGGUUCUGCUGUCUCACACUAUGCAGACUCUUACCGUGCUGCCCUCCAGGCAGACUUUAUGUCAUUGUGUGCUGCUGCCUGUCUCCAUCAGCCUGUUAAAGCUGUGGAGUAAUGAAUGAAUCCAUCUCCACACACUGACCGCACUGCCACCAUUGGACCAGAUUGGCCCAUAUAUCACAUUGUGAUAGCAGAAUGUCUUUACUUCUCAAAGAAACAUCUAUUCACAUACAGUGGGGUCCAAAUGUCUGCAGCUAGUUAAAAUGCUUCUACUGUACUUUUUUCCAGACGGAAACUGAUUAAACUGAAACAAACCUCCAAAAGGUUUGAAAUGCCACAAAUGGUCCCUCAGUUUGACUUCGGGGUGGAUGGAAUUGCUUGUUAUAUGAGACCCGUCCAGCUGGGAGAGUCUGUUUACCUGUAAUUUCCUCCUGCUGGUUUGGAAUCUCUAUUAAAGCUCUACUAAAGGUCAGAGAAAAAAAGGCCAAUCACUCCUAAAAAUAGAAAAAAAAGCUUGCAUUGAUGACUUAAAGUUCAUUUAGACAUUGUGUAAAUUAAUAUAGGCAAAAAUAUCAAAUUAGGCUUCCAAAGGAUUUCCAGUGAAUAAGUAUUAGUCAUUAAAUCCAGAAUAACACUGCAAACUCUUUUUAAGGACUUUACUAGAAUGUUUAACACACAUUUAUUGAUAUACAAUAUUGAUUCUAAUACACUUGUUAUAAACAACAAAUGUAGCUACUAUAUUAAACUCAUUGUUUGGUAUUAAUAUGUAGGGGAAAUAUCUAAUAAUGCAUCCAUAAGUUGUUAUCUAUGACCACUGUUGUAGAAAAUCUGAUUUCAGGUUGUUCUAAUGAUUGGUGCGCAUUUUAAGAGAUUUCUGCGAAUAUUACUUCUGCUUGCAGGGAUGAUAUACAGAUGGACUGAAUAUGCCAACCACUUCUUUUCAUUGGUACAUUAAACUGAUCAAGAUGCAAUUGAGACAAGUCUGAGCCAUCUGACAAGUUUCUUGCUGGCUGAGCUACCUUUAUAAUAUAUUGUAUAUAAUACAUAUUUGUUAUAUACACCACCUUCUAAAACAAAACUGUCUAAAGCUUAAAACAAAUACAUACAGUUCAAAUGCAUUUGAGAACAUUUUUCAUUCAUGUUUUAGCAAAGCCACUGAAUUACAGAGUGGAAGGACACUGGGGAUUCAAAGAUUUUGUAUUAAUCAAAGCAAAGCAUAUCCAUUCAAAAAAACAUUUUAAUCCUCUCAAAACUAUUCAACAUGAGGAUGGGAAGAGCCAACACAAUACUUUAAACUUUGAUGUGUUCCCUAAACGGUCUGGUGCUUUAAUUUAAAAUUACAAUUGCAAAAAUAACACCUCCUUUCUAAAGCCACAACAUUUGGUUUCCUUUUCUUUUUUCUUUUUUUUUCUUGGAUCACCUCAGAGUCCAUAUUGGGUCUUCUGGACAAUUUUACCAUUAUAUAUUUAAACAAAACACAAUCACUUUGAGGUGUUUUAAAAAGCAAAUAAAUUGUCAGUGCUCUAGAGAAAUGAGAAGGCA
This is a long non-coding RNA of Cyprinus carpio (common carp), 2239 nucleotides long. NCBI's taxonomy places the organism in Eukaryota, Metazoa, Chordata, Actinopteri, Cypriniformes, Cyprinidae. The record is from Ensembl.